CUAUCACCACUGAUUACUGCCCAAUACAUGCCGGUUAGAUGUGUGUCCGACUUGAUCCCGACUUGCUCUGACGUCAUGCACACUUGGGCAACGAUGACCUCACAAGAUUAAGGCGGACGCAGUUUUUGGAGCGAGACAAUGCAGUUGCUUUCCACCGCUUGCAAGCUCCAGGGCAUGACGGGAAAUGCCUGGCUCUCAGCUGAUCUAACAGCUGAUUGGUUCAGAAUUGACUCAACAUGAUGAUGUUUUAUAUAAAUUUUUUUAU
Long non-coding RNA from Etheostoma spectabile (orangethroat darter), 265 nucleotides. RefSeq lists it as uncharacterized. Lineage: Eukaryota; Metazoa; Chordata; Actinopteri; Perciformes; Percidae. The record is from RefSeq and is a predicted model, not a curated record. The transcript is spliced from 3 exons.